This 250-nucleotide long non-coding RNA is filed under the name Manihot esculenta (cassava). RNAcentral's name for it is "long non-coding RNA (MESC_LNC005508)". Lineage: Eukaryota; Viridiplantae; Streptophyta; Magnoliopsida; Malpighiales; Euphorbiaceae. The record is from RNAcentral.
AAAAAAAAAAAAAAAAAGAUAGCACCACCGAAUCAGCCUCUGAAGAAGUCACCAUCGCAGAUCUGAAUCAUGGAUGAGGUAAGUACAUCUAUUCUCUAUUCUCAACUCACAUCUGUUAUAAAAGAUCUUGCCAUAGACAUAGUGCAACAGAUUCAAGCGCCCAGCCACCAAAGCCCUGUAUGAUCUGUGGAUAUGUGGGACACCUAACUUCCCGAUGUUCUACACUUUAUGAGGAUGACCAACCAAUGCA